UCCGCCAUAGCUCAGCUCAGUUGGUAGAGCGCAUGACUGUUAAUCAUGAUGUCACAGGUUCGAGCCCUGUUGGCGGAG
Molecule: transfer RNA, 78 nt
Filed under: Streptococcus suis
Lineage: Bacteria; Bacillati; Bacillota; Bacilli; Lactobacillales; Streptococcaceae
Description: tRNA-Asn
Rfam family: tRNA
About the family: Transfer RNA (tRNA) molecules are approximately 80 nucleotides in length.
Source: RNAcentral